Molecule: long non-coding RNA, 268 nt
Filed under: Arabidopsis lyrata
Lineage: Eukaryota; Viridiplantae; Streptophyta; Magnoliopsida; Brassicales; Brassicaceae
Description: long non-coding RNA (ALYR_LNC000427)
Source: RNAcentral
CAGAAAUAAAUUACAACAACCGAAACCAAUAUUUGUUAAACAAAGAACGGUUUGUGCGGAGGCGAGACACUCUUUCCUUAAUUCUUUAAUUGCCCGUAGUGUGACGGCUUGACGCAAUCAGAAUCCCAGGAUACAACCGCACCAUCUUCUGAUUUGCAACACUCAAAAUCAGAAGCCUAACGAACUCUAGUAAUGUGUGUACUCUCAGACUCGAUAACUAGAGAAGAGAAGAUGAAGGAGAUUGUGAUCUUUUGGAUGCAUAUGUCCA